RNAcentral lists this ribosomal RNA (406 nucleotides) under uncultured bacterium. RNAcentral describes it as "partial 16S ribosomal RNA". It matches the Rfam family "Bacterial small subunit ribosomal RNA", at positions 30 to 526 of the family's 1533-position model. The record is from RNAcentral.
AUUGAACGCUGGCGGCAGGCCUAACACAUGCAAGUCGAACGAGUGGCGGACGGGUGCGUAAUGUCUGGGAAACUGCCCCAUGGCGGGGGAUAAUUCCUGGAAACGGUAGCUAAUACCGCAUACUACCCGUUCUGCCCUGAUGGGAUUAACUGGUUGGUGGGGUAACGGCUCACAAAGGCUAUGAUCCCUAGCUGGUCUGAGAGGAUGACCAGCCACACUGGAACGGAGACACGGUCCAGACUCCUACGGGAGGCAGCAGUGGGGAAUAUUGCACAAUGGGCGCAAGCCUGAUGCAGCCAUGCCGCGUGUAUGAAGAAGGCCUUCGGGUUGUAAAGUACUUUCAGCGGGGAGGCGUUACCCGCAGAAGAAGCACCGGCUAACUCCGUGCCAGCAGCCGCGGUAAUAC